RNAcentral lists this transfer RNA (72 nucleotides) under Ctenophorus decresii. RNAcentral describes it as "tRNA-Asn". The record is from RNAcentral. Lineage: Eukaryota; Metazoa; Chordata; Lepidosauria; Squamata; Agamidae.
AGAGACCAGAGGGCUUCGAUCCCACAUAUUAUUAGUUAACAGCUAACACGCUCAACCAAUGGCACUGAUCCC